RNAcentral lists this long non-coding RNA (228 nucleotides) under Panax ginseng (ginseng). RNAcentral describes it as "long non-coding RNA (PGIN_LNC018712)". Lineage: Eukaryota; Viridiplantae; Streptophyta; Magnoliopsida; Apiales; Araliaceae. The record is from RNAcentral.
AUGAGUAAGGUUUAGAAGUUGAUGCUCAUUUGGAAGGAUGUUUAGGUGUUCUUCGACCCUUUCUUGUUGCCCAGAAACAUAAGGAUGAUCCUAAAAUCCAUCGUGGGCGAAUUUUUCAGACAAGGGUCAUAUGUGCGGAACAUGUGUGCUCUCUUAACGGAUGUUAUCUCUGAGGAAGCAGUUAAGAAACUUGGGUUAACAGUUGAGCCUCACCCGGAGCCGUUUAAU